GCGCCCGUGGCUCAAUGGAUAGAGCGUCUCGUUACGGCCGAGGAGGUUGGGGAUUCGAGUUCCUCCGGGCGCA
RNAcentral lists this transfer RNA (73 nucleotides) under Bifidobacteriaceae bacterium. RNAcentral describes it as "tRNA-Arg". The record is from RNAcentral. Lineage: Bacteria; Bacillati; Actinomycetota; Actinomycetes; Bifidobacteriales; Bifidobacteriaceae.